RNA transcript from Trachemys scripta elegans, 2870 nucleotides. It is a transcript of the gene named lithostathine-1-like, with no coding region annotated. Lineage: Eukaryota; Metazoa; Chordata; Testudines; Emydidae. The record is from RefSeq and is a predicted model, not a curated record. The transcript has 5 exons.
GUUCACCCCUGGGUCAGGUCAGUCUGAGUUAAUUAACUCUUUCUGGCCCUGUCACCUUCCAAUGAAAUAUUGUAUUACACUCCUAACAUCACAAAGGGGAAUUAGCAACACUUAGAGAGGGGAAUCCUCCCCUCCCAGGCUGUCUCUGUAACAGGUCCUCCCUUCCUGCAGGAAGGAACCAUUGGGCAUGCUCCAAGUGCUAUACUAGUAUAAAAGGGAGCAGCCCGGCUCAGUCUUUGGGGUGGGCGGCGGGGGACUGAUGGAGAGGAAGGACCUUUGGUGGAGGCUCCAGCUGAGGAGCUGUUACAGCACUUGCCUGUGGGAGCCAGAGAUCUGUGGCCAAAGGAGCCCCAGGGAAUUACCUGCGCUGAGGAGCCCAGAGACCCAGUGCUCCAUGGACUGCAACUUCAGGAAGCACGGUAUGAAGUGACCAGGAAGGGUGAACAAGUGGUAUCUCCCUCCAGUGUGAGGUCAGUGUCUUUCAAUGGAUUCCCCACUGACCCAGUGGCAGACCACUCCAUCACUGUUAGGCCCUGGGUCAGGGCCUGGUGGAGUAGGGUGGGCCUGGGCCCCCCUACCUGGACCACCACUGCCCCUGGUGGCAGCCCCUGGGGUGUUGGCCACUAGGCCACACUGCCCUGUAUUUGAGGGCUGCUGUAUUGAUUCUGGAUGCUAGGCCAUGCUGCCCUGAACACAAGGGCUGCUGUAUUGCCUCAGACCCUUGGACCUCAGCAUGGUGAGCCUGAGGCCCAAGACAGGUACAGAGUAACUGUAGUGUCCACACACCCACUCUCCCCCCCCCAACAGGAGACAGGGUGUGCAUACACUGCCACAUCAGCUUUCUGAAGUACUUUGUUUGUUCUGCUGCUCUCACUCCUUCCCUUCCUUAGAAUCAUGAAAUCUGUCAUUUCAUGAUCACUUUCACCCACUGGUCUUCAAAAUUCAGAUUCCCAACCAAUUCCUUCCUGUGAAUAAGAAUUAAGUCUAACAUGGCUGUUCCCCUUGUUACUUUCUGCACCUUGGAAAUAAGAAGUUCUGUCCAAUACAUUCUAAGAAUGUUUUGAAAAUUUUAUGUUUUGCCAUAUUACUUUUCCAACAGAUAUUGGGGACACUGAAGUCCCCCUAUUAUUACCAGGUCUUGUCUUUUGGAUAUUUCUGUUAUUAGUCCUCUAAAUGCCUCAUUGACCUCCCCCGGACUUGUUGUUCUAUAGUAGACCCCUACCAUGACAUCACCUCGGUUUUCCCCUUUUAUCUUUACUCAGAGACUUUCAACUGGCCUGUGUCUCACCUUCUGGACCUCAGAACAAGUGGAUAUAUUAUUGGUGUAUAACACAACACCUCCUCCCUUUGUUCUCUGCCUGCCCUUCCUGAACAAGCUGUACCUCUCUCUACCAAUAUUCCAGUCAUGAGGUUUAUACCACCAAGUCUCUGUGAUGCCAAUUAAGUCAUAAUUUAGCCUAGAUACUAAUACUUCCUGUUCUUCUGUUUAUUCCCUCCUUGCAUUUGUGUGUAGACAUCUGAGAUGUAGAGCAGGUUCCCACACAGUUACCUCUCUUGUUGCUUCUAUGAUCCUAUAGUUAUUUUCUGUUCCCACUCCCCCAUCAUUUCUUUUAAAAUCACCUGUGGGAUUUUAUCACCUGCCCCUUUUAGAUCUAGUUUCAAGCCCUCCUCAUUAGGUUGGCAAAUCGGUGUGUGGUUCCUUCAUCCUCUACUAUAGUCCAGUGUCCCCAACCUCCCCUCUGCUCCGAGCCUCACCAGUGUCCCCAUGACACCCAGUGUGGCCCCACCUCACCCCAUAGUCCCUUGUGUACUCUGACUUCUCCCCCUUGCUACCCCUCCCCGUCAGGUUCCCCAGUGCCCCUGCACAGAAGAUAGGAGGUGACCAUCUUCCCUGAGGGCAGCCCAGCUCCUGACCUCUUGGGAGGGGAGACAGUGGUAAUUUUUACUAGGACAGCCUCCCGGCCACAGACAAAGGGGGCGAGGGAGUGGCAGCUGUUACAUUCAAUGGGGCUGAAGCCACUCAGUUGAAAUAGGAGAUAGUGGCCAUUCUGAGAGAAGUCAAAAGUUCACAGGAUUUUUGAGAUCUGGAGAAGCUGGAAUGACGACAACUGACAUCUGUUUCCAUUCUCUUCUCCAAAACAGCCUCUCCCCACCGUGGCCUCUCUCCCCAUCCCAUCUCCUCUCUCCGAUCAGGAAUAAGAGACAGCUCCUGUCCCAGUGACUGGCAGCCCUUCCAAAGCCAUUGCUACAAGUUCUUCCCCCAAAGGAUGACCUGGUCAGAGGCUGAGGUGCAGUGUCAGUAUCUCCACAAUGGGGCCCAUCUCGCCUCCAUCCUCUCUGAGCCAGAAGGGGACAUGGUGGCCAGAUACAUCAUCCAGUCAGGCUCCAAGGAUGAUGUGUGGAUCGGACUCCAUGACCCCAACCACAACAAACGCUGGAGGUGGACAGAUCGCUCCAUGUUUUGCUACAGUGAUUGGAAAAUUGGGGAACCAAACAACAAAGGUGGCAAUGAGUACUGUGGUGAGCUAACAAAAGACACAGACUCUCACUGGGCAGGAUUUGCUUUUCCAUUAUCUGCUACUGAAAGAGUCGCGCAUCCAAUCACGGAGCGGGAGCAAUGCCAUGUGACCUGCAUGACUAGUCACACACACAGCAAAUAGUAGAAGUAUAACAUUUGCAAAACCAGUGCGCUAAUGGGAAAGAGCGUGAACUUCACAGCAAUUCAUCCUUCGUGCUGUCCCUUGGGGAGAGAUGCUGCCCCUGGGCCACACACAAACCCAGAGGUGUAGGAGAUGAAGGUUUUAAGGAAUGGAACGAUAACGUCUGUAGCAAGCAAAGCGCCUACAUUUGCAAGAGAACACUCUAGCGAG